Molecule: long non-coding RNA, 214 nt
Filed under: Lathyrus oleraceus (garden pea)
Lineage: Eukaryota; Viridiplantae; Streptophyta; Magnoliopsida; Fabales; Fabaceae
Description: Pisum sativum (pea) long non-coding RNA (PSAT_LNC041773)
Source: RNAcentral
UUUAGUGGGUUUAUCCUUGAUAUGUUCAUCUUAACCGAUGACGUAUAUCCUCCUUAACAUCCUCAGGCAACUCUAUCCUUGAUAUGUUCAUCCUAACCGAUGACAAAUUUUCUUUCCUUUGAGUCUAUCCUUGAUAUGUUCAUCUUAUUCGGUGACGAAUAUUCUCAUCUUUGGUUUUCUGCCCAGUAAUUGGUAGUUGUAAAUCCUAUUUCUA